This 799-nucleotide ribosomal RNA is filed under the name uncultured marine microorganism. RNAcentral describes it as "bacterial SSU rRNA". It matches the Rfam family "Bacterial small subunit ribosomal RNA", at positions 8 to 804 of the family's 1533-position model. The record is from RNAcentral.
AGAGUUUGAUCAUGGCUCAGAUUGAACGCUGGCGGCAGGCCUAACACAUGCAAGUCGAACGGUAACAUUUCUAGCUUGCUAGAAGAUGACGAGUGGCGGACGGGUGAGUAAUGCUUGGGAACUUGCCUUUGCGAGGGGGAUAACAGUUGGAAACGACUGCUAAUACCGCAUAAUGUCUACGGACCAAACGGGGCUUCGGCUCCGGCGCAAAGAGAGGCCCAAGUGAGAUUAGCUAGUUGGUAAGGUAACGGCUUACCAAGGCGACGAUCUCUAGCUGUUCUGAGAGGAAGGUCAGCCACACUGGGACUGAGACACGGCCCAGACUCCUACGGGAGGCAGCAGUGGGGAAUAUUGCACAAUGGGGGAAACCCUGAUGCAGCCAUGCCGCGUGUGUGAAGAAGGCCUUCGGGUUGUAAAGCACUUUCAGUUGUGAGGAAAAGUUAGUAGUUAAUACCUGCUAGCCGUGACGUUAACAACAGAAGAAGCACCGGCUAACUCCGUGCCAGCAGUCGCGGUAAUACGGAGGGUGCGAGCGUUAAUCGGAAUUACUGGGCGUAAAGCGCACGCAGGCGGUUUGUUAAGCUAGAUGUGAAAGCCCCGGGCUCAACCUGGGAUGGUCAUUUAGAACUGGCAGACUAGAGUCUUGGAGAGGGGAGUGGAAUUCCAGGUGUAGCGGUGAAAUGCGUAGAUAUCUGGAGGAACAUCAGUGGCGAAGGCGACUCCCUGGCCAAAGACUGACGCUCAUGUGCGAAAGUGUGGGUAGCGAACAGGAUUAGAUACCCUGGUAGUCCACACCGUA